AUACUUACGUGGCAGGGGAGGAGAUACCACUGUCAUGAAGGUGGUUUUCCCAGCGUGAGGCUUAUCCAUUGCACUCCACAUGUGCUGAUUCCUGCGAUUUCCCCAAAUGUGAGAUAUUCGAUUGCAUAAUUUGUGGUAGUGAGGACUGUUUCAUGCUCUCCCAU
This is a small nuclear RNA of Cavia aperea (Brazilian guinea pig), 164 nucleotides long. Its record names the gene U1. It matches the Rfam family "U1 spliceosomal RNA". Rfam says of the family: U1 is a small nuclear RNA (snRNA) component of the spliceosome (involved in pre-mRNA splicing). Its 5' end forms complementary base pairs with the 5' splice junction, thus defining the 5' donor site of an intron. Lineage: Eukaryota; Metazoa; Chordata; Mammalia; Rodentia; Caviidae. The record is from Ensembl.